CAGAGAUCAAAACACGGUCCGGUUGGUAGUCCGGGCACGGCCGAUUGCCGUCAGUAACCUGCCUCCUAUGGUUGUCCAUUCUCUGC
Molecule: non-coding RNA, 86 nt
Filed under: chicken gut metagenome
Description: yjdF RNA
Rfam family: azaaromatic riboswitch aptamer (yjdF RNA)
Source: RNAcentral